UAAAAUCGCAGCUAGAGAUAGACUGUAUACGCUUGGUAGCUGAUACUAUGUAUUAAGCGUAUUUAUAAGUACGCCAGUCAAGUGGGGAGAGCAAUCAUUAAUUUGGUUGCUCUUUUUUUGAUU
This 123-nucleotide non-coding RNA is filed under the name unclassified sequences. RNAcentral's name for it is "DUF3800-I RNA". It matches the Rfam family "DUF3800-I RNA". Rfam says of the family: Actinobacteria, Firmicutes, Fusobacteria, Proteobacteria (1 example), Tenericutes (2 examples). Terminator (Clostridia) The record is from Rfam by way of RNAcentral.